RNAcentral lists this long non-coding RNA (698 nucleotides) under Homo sapiens (human). RNAcentral describes it as "HSALNT0175475". The record is from RNAcentral. Lineage: Eukaryota; Metazoa; Chordata; Mammalia; Primates; Hominidae.
AAAAAAAAAAAAAAAAAAAACAAGUACAGAGCAGUGUGUAUAUUUUGCUUCAUCUUAGCAGCAUAUUAAAAAGUGGAAGGAUAAACCAAAACUCAUAAAAAUGCUUAAUAUAGGGGGAGGGAGAAUAAGGAUAAAAGCGAUAGGUAUAAGUGCUAGAUUUCUUUGGCUAUAACUUGUCUUAUAGAUUUGACUUUGAAACAAUAUAAAUGUUUUUCUUAAAUAUAAAAUAAAAUUAGAUGAGAUAUUAAUGGGUAUAAAAAUACCAUUAGAAAGAAGAAGAUCUAGUGUUCAGAGGCACAAUAGGGUAACUAUAGUUAACAACAAUUCAUUGUAUAUUUUAAAACACAUAAGAAAAGUAGAACUCGGAUGUUCCUAACACAAAGAAAUGAUAAAUGGUUGAGGUGAUGGAUAUCCCAAUUACCCUAAUAUGAUCAUUACAUAUUGUACGCUUGUAUCAGAAUAUCACAUGUACCCUGUAAAUAUAUACAACUAUCAGGUUUCCAUUAUAAUUAAAAAUUAAGAAUAAUAAAUUAAAAAUCAAUCUCUUCAAGUCUAAAACAAAAUGAAACAUAAAGAAAUUGUGUCUUAAUACAGAAGGAGCAGGAUUAAAAAAAUUGUGUUUUAAGUUGAUGAUUGAAUGAUACAGAAAUAAAUUAUUACAAUUGAAUUUAAAGCACAAAAAUUUAAUAUAUGUCCCU